AGAACUCAGGUAUAACAACAUAACAGAAAUCGAUGUUCAGUUUUGUAAAGAGAUGCCACAGUUACAGUACCUGUAUGUACACACAAUUUGUUAUGUGACAUAUUAUAUAUAUAAUUGGUACCACAUUUAUUCAGUAUGUGUGUUAUGUAUUUAUUAUAAUAUACUAUAUUAUGGAGUGUGAGUCAGAGCGAGAACUUCUCUAGUUCAUUACUUUAGGAAUAUUUAUGAAAAAGUAAUAUUUCAAUACCCAGCCCCAUUCUACUAUUUAGUCAGCCGUCAGUCUCUAUCCUGAUAUACCCUAUUUUUCGGGUAAUUAAUACAGAUAGAUUUUGACAUUUUUAGCCGAAUUUUAUCGUAUACUGGUUCAUAUUCUGGACGCCAGUCUUUGCUCCUUUAUAAUAUAAUUCACAAAUAAAGAACACAUAUGAAGCUUAGAAAUGGAAAAAUAUUAAAUACUUAACUCGUUAAAAGGGUAUCUAGACGUCUCAAUCUUCAAAAACGGUUAUCUAAAAAUAUUAACAUUUUUAAUUAUAAAAAUCGUGGUUACCCUUCUGUCGAUAAGUGUCAUGCCAAACAAUGACUUACAUGUCCCCGUCUUUCCACCAACAAUACGGCAAGGUCCACGUUUAAUUGUCGCACAUUUUCUUUAAAUUUUGAAACUAAUAUAAUUACAAAAAACAAACAGUAUUAUUUAUUUACUCGCAUGAAACAAACCGGGAUGUGGCAUUCAGUACGUAGAUGAAACUGGACGAUAUUUAUCUAAACUAACUCAAGAACAUCUGUAUCGUUUUAAAAGACCCAAUAAAUUCAAAAGUAUCAUUUACCAACACCUUAAGAAGCACAAUCAUCCUAUUAAAUAUUUAGCAGUUCAAUCUUUAGUAGUAAAUAAGCAGCCUGGUGAAUCUCAUUCAAAGUUUGUACGAUCACGGAAAAUAAUUGAAUUAAAUUGGAUUAAAAAAUUACAGACAGUCUACCUCUCGGUCUUAAUGAUAAUAUAAGAGAAUUGGUAAUAUGUCAACAACCGAUUCCAUUAACUUUUUGAUAUAGUUUCUAUAACUGUUAGUAAAAACCGUUCUCACGGUCGUAGAAAAAAGCGCAAUCAAAUAACAUUUCAACCCAAUCAUACCAAUAUUUCGGACCUAUUUUAUAUUUCAAAAAACAACAGCAGACAUUAUCUGUUAACACAUUUCUGUUCAUUACCGGUUAAUAAGUUAAAGAAAUUUUUGGAGGAUGGCAACACAAUUUCAUAUAGCAGUCCAUUCUCUUAAAGAACACAUUCCUGGGUAUUUUGACAAUACUAAGCUCCCUCUUAUUUGUUAUAUUUACAAGAAAUCUAACCGGAAAUUUGUGUUUAAUUAUAGCCAAUUAUGUAAAGAUGUUAAUAUCAGUGAAAAUACACCUACUUCAUGUAAUUGUGGUAUUUCCGAAUAUAUUUAUGGACCCAUUUUCCGUGUUAUAACAGGACCGAUAGUAUUCAACAUUUUAAAGAACAUUUUACUAUUAACAAUAACCACAAUAAACGUAUUUCUCGUAUUAAAUUUAAACUAAACAGACUAGCCAAGGAAUUUGCUUUUUGUCCCGGCCGAUAAAGCUGCAAAUAAUAUUAUUAUUGUUUGACGUAAAUUUUAUAUUGAGGUUCUGAAAAAAGAAAUCACCAAUUCACCAACAUUUCCAACUGACUCCAUUUUCAGAAAAUCUGUAACAAACAUAAACUUUUAGCUACCGCUUUACAAGCGGAACCAAUACAUGAAAGUCCAACUAUGUACUGGCUUCCGAAAGCUACAAAAACCACCUAUAAAUAUCGAUUUAUUUCGUCUUCAGCCAUUGUUCCACUACUAAAUUGUCUGUUUUACUUACAAUACACUUGGUACAAUAAACUGAUAAAUUGUUCAAAUAAGGCCUUGAAAAUAGUGGAAUUAAUUACUUUUGAGUGUCAAAACUCGUUGGAUACUUGAUAAAUUGCAUGCUAUAUUGUGAUUUUGAAUCUGUUCAAAGUUUUGAUUUUUCUACCCUGUAUACCAAUUGCCUUAUUCUAUAAGAAAUAUUCACAUGUUAAUUAAAUGGCAUUUAAAAAGUCAGAAUGCGAUACAUAUGUUCAAACUCUUUUAGUUUUUUAGUAGCAAUAACAAAAGAACAUGGCAAUUGAAUCUUGAUACAAUUAUUGCAUUGAAUUUUACUUGAUAACAUUUUUGUUUCGCUUUGGAGAAUCCGUAUAUCGUCAGGUUAUGGAAUUGCAAUGGGGACUAACUGUGCCCACUUAUUGCGGACCUGUUUUGUAUUGUUAUGAGUUACAAUUUAUGACUAAAUUAGCAAGACCCAUCAAACAACAUUGAUACAAAUUUAAUAAUACUUUUAGAUAUUUGUGUGAUAUUUUGGCUCUCAAUAAUGACGACUUUAGUAUGUAUACUAAAGCAAUUUCUCCUGUUGAACUUACUUUAAAUAAAGCUAAUACUAAAAAUGCACACUGCCCUUUCCUCGAUCUUGAUAUCUAUAUCAUUAACGGAAGCUUAAUACUAAAAUGUAUGAUAAAAGAAAUGAUUUGUUUUCAUUUCCUAUCGUUAAUUAUCCAUUUUAGAUGGUGACGUUCCCUUGUCACCACCUUACGGUGUUUAUAUAUCUCAACCUGUACGAUUCGCUCGUGUAUGUAACAAUGUUUUAGAUUUUAACGAGAUAAAUUUAUGCAUCACGGAAAAAAAAUAUUACACCAGGGUUUUCGAUAUCGAUAACUAGUCAAAACAUUUACUAAAUUUCAUUAUCGGUAUAAGGACAUCAUUCGUAAAUAUAGCUCAACAUCCAGACUUCUUAUACGUUCAGGUAUUUCACAUCUUUAUAAAGUACAAAAAUAUCAAUAUUGCGUUUACUUAUCGUUUGCUUGUAUUUCGUCUUGUGUAAGAGAAGUACUUCAUAAUAAUCGAGUAACUUACAUGUGUUUGACUUGCAUAUAAUGUUGCGCUGUAUAUUUAAGAUUAUUACAUUUUAAAUUUUCAAAUGUUUCAAAUAUUUUAGUAACAUUAGUUUCCAACAAAAUAGGCAAUGAAUGUCCGAAGAACACAUUUCUAGUAUAUAAGUGUUUCACCAUCGGCGGAGGAUAUUAUGAUUAAAAUCAAAUUGACAAAGCUUAUACUUACGUACACAAAUGCAUAACAAUACGGUUGUGUAACUAUGUAUUCAUGCUGAUUUACGUAUAAAUAUAGUCUCUAGUACCUACAUACUAUUUAUUAAAAUAAAGGUUCUCCAAAUUUAAAUUACUUAUGUUUUAACGACUUUGAUAAAAUGUAGUCGGUUACAUUGAUUUAAUUCCUUCUUGAAACAUGUUGUGUAAUGCCUUGAAUCCUAAGUAUUUGUUAUUGAACAGUUUUUAUAAAUAAACAAAGGAUUUAUAUAUUAUUUGAUUGUCUAAACAAUAUAAAUAAAUUCUCGAUUUUUAAUGAUGAAUUAUUUUCUGUUUUAUAUUAGUUAUAUCAGCCACAAUUUGAUUACUGAAGUUCCGCUAAACACAUUUACAGGCUGUAAGCAGCUGUAUAGAAUGUACGUAUAUAUUUUAAAUAUUCACUUGUUAAUCUCAUUUGAAUUAUUCGAAGGUGCUGGGUUAAACAAUACAAGU
Molecule: long non-coding RNA, 3604 nt
Filed under: Mytilus galloprovincialis (Mediterranean mussel)
Lineage: Eukaryota; Metazoa; Mollusca; Bivalvia; Mytilida; Mytilidae
Source: RNAcentral